Molecule: ribosomal RNA, 332 nt
Filed under: uncultured bacterium
Lineage: Bacteria
Description: bacterial SSU rRNA
Rfam family: Bacterial small subunit ribosomal RNA
Source: RNAcentral
GACGAACGCUGGCGGCGUGCUUAACACAUGCAAGUCUACGAGAAAAGGGUAGCAAUAUCCUGAGUAAAGUGGCGCACGGGUGAGUAACACGUAGGCAAUCUGCCUUUAGGACGGGAACAACCCCGAGAAAUCGAGGCUAAUACCCGAUAAUGCAGCGGCACCGCAUGGUGACAGUUGUUAAAUGCCCGCAAGGGCGCCUAGAGAUGAGCCUGCGCCCCAUUAGGUAGNGGUGAGGUAACGGCCCACCAAGCCUACGAUGGGUAGCUGAUCUGAGAGGAUGAUCAGCCACACUGGAACUGAGACACGGCCCAGACUCCUACGGGGAGGCAGCA